This 750-nucleotide long non-coding RNA is filed under the name Struthio camelus australis. RNAcentral's name for it is "lncRNA (ENSSCUG00000001639.1)". The record is from RNAcentral. Lineage: Eukaryota; Metazoa; Chordata; Aves; Struthioniformes; Struthionidae.
AGAUGGUUGUAUGCAGUAGAUUCCCACCCCUUCUUCAUUGUAAAUUCUUAAAUAGAAGGACAAAGAUGAUUGCAAAGAAUUAAAGAGAGUUCCGGCUGGAAAAGGGCAGUUCUCUUUUAAAUGCAUCCAGCUAAGAGGUUUUUUUCAUUUUUUGUUGUUGUUUUUUUUUUUUUUUUAACAAAUGGAGCUAGACAGCAGUAUGGCCCGGUCAGAGCAUCAAGACCUGAGUCCUCAUCUGUGACCUGGUCACUGCUCAUCUUUAUGUCUCCAGCUGGAAGGAAGGGAGAAUAAAAUCACCAUCUUGGCCCUGCACAACUUUCCUGAGGAAGGGAGACACAAGAGCAAGGAGGCUCUACCAGCCUGCGUUUCCGAGGCAGCGUAGGGCACAUGAAGAAGACAAAAAGGAGUUUUGAGGCGCGUCCAGCGGGUUUCCUCUCCCCCAGCGGUGACUGGAGGCAGGGAAUCUUACACACUGGACCCGGCAUCUUUCAUGCUUCCCUGCUGUCAUUGGAUGAGUGGAGUACAAGCCUUGUUACCUCAGGCAAAAGGCUGAAAUUUCCAUAGCCUUGUAACUGGUGACAUGAAGCUUCCUACCUAUGAGGUCAGGAAUGUAGCGCUAUAUUUAAUGUUUAUACCAUUGACACGUUAGUCUUUGAACGUCCUCUCGUACAGCUGGCUUUGCCUCUGAGGUAAGAAAUGGAUUUGGGCAGAACAUGUUUUUCUCUAUACAUAUUUCUAUACAUGUACCUU